CCCCAUGUCUUUUGCGCACUUGUUGUUUCCUGGGCGGGUUCGCCCGCCACCAGGACCAAACCAUAAACCUUUUUUUUAUGCAGUUGCAAUCAGCGUCAGUAAAAACAAUGUAAUUAUUACAACUUUCAACAACGGAUCUCUUGGUUCUGGCAUCGAUGAAGAACGCAGCGAAAUGCGAUACGUAGUGUGAAUUGCAGAAUUCAGUGAAUCAUCGAAUCUUUGAACGCACAUUGCGCCCUUUGGUAUUCCAAAGGGCAUGCCUGUUCGAGCGUCAUUUGUACCUUCAAGCUUUGCUUGGUGUUGGGCGUUUUUUGUCUCCCUCUUUCUGGGAGACUCGCCUUAAAACGAUUGGCAGCCGGCCUACUGGUUUCGGAGCGCAGCACAUAUUUUGCGCUUUGUAUCAGGAGAAAAGGACGGUAAUCCAUCAAGACUCUACAUUUUUAACUUUUGACCUCGGAUCAGGUA
Molecule: ribosomal RNA, 465 nt
Filed under: Bipolaris sorokiniana
Lineage: Eukaryota; Fungi; Ascomycota; Dothideomycetes; Pleosporales; Pleosporaceae
Description: eukaryotic LSU rRNA
Rfam family: 5.8S ribosomal RNA (bases 121-274)
Source: RNAcentral